This 148-nucleotide non-coding RNA is filed under the name Pan paniscus (pygmy chimpanzee). Lineage: Eukaryota; Metazoa; Chordata; Mammalia; Primates; Hominidae. RNAcentral also lists the same sequence under 1 other name. The record is from Rfam by way of RNAcentral.
GCUGGGUGUGGUGGCGGGCACCUGUAGUCCCAGCUACUUGGGAGGCUGAGGCAGGAGAAUCGCUUGAACCUGGGAGGCGGAGCUUGUGGUGAGCCAAGAUCACACCACUGCACUCCAGCCUAGGUGACAGAGUGAGACUCUGUCUCAC